UACAGAGGGUGUAAGCGUUAAUCGGAAUAACUGGGCGUAAAGCGCGCGCAGGCGGGCAAUUAAGUCAAAUGUGAAAUCCCCGAGCUUAACUUGGGAAUUGCAUUCGAUACUGGUUGGCUAGAGUGUGGGAGAGGAUGGUAGAAUUCCAGGUGUAGCGGUGAAAUGCGUAGAGAUCUGGAGGAAUACCGAUGGCGAAGGCAGCCAUCUGGCCUAACACUGACGCUGAGGCGCGAAAGCAUGGGGAGCAAACAGG
RNAcentral lists this ribosomal RNA (253 nucleotides) under uncultured bacterium. RNAcentral describes it as "partial 16S ribosomal RNA". It matches the Rfam family "Bacterial small subunit ribosomal RNA", at positions 524 to 776 of the family's 1533-position model. The record is from RNAcentral.